RNAcentral lists this ribosomal RNA (478 nucleotides) under uncultured bacterium. RNAcentral describes it as "partial 16S ribosomal RNA". It matches the Rfam family "Bacterial small subunit ribosomal RNA", at positions 28 to 507 of the family's 1533-position model. The record is from RNAcentral.
GAUGAACGCUGGCGGCGUGCUUAACACAUGCAAGUCGAACGGGAAAUAUUUCAUUGAGACUUCGGUGGAUUUGAUUUAUUUCUAGUGGCGGACGGGUGAGUAACGCGUGGGUAACCUGCCUUAUACAGGGGGAUAACAGUCAGAAAUGGCUGCUAAUACCGCAUAAGCGCACAGAGCUGCAUGGCUCAGUGUGAAAAACUCCGGUGGUAUAAGAUGGACCCGCGUUGGAUUAGCUGGUUGGUGGGGUAACGGCCCACCAAGGCGACGAUCCAUAACCGGCCUGGUAGGGUGACCGGCCACAUUGGGACUGCGACCCGGCCCCGACUCCUACGGGAGGCAGCAGUGGGGAAUAUUGCACACUGGGGGAAACCCUGAUGCAGCGACGCCGCGUGAAGGGAGAAGUAUCUCGGUAUGUACACUUCUAUCAGCAGGGAAGAUAGUGACGGUACCUGACGAAGAAGCCCCGGCUAACUACGUG